Molecule: ribosomal RNA, 598 nt
Filed under: uncultured eukaryote
Lineage: Eukaryota
Description: SSU rRNA
Rfam family: Eukaryotic small subunit ribosomal RNA
Source: RNAcentral
CUCGUAGUUGGAUCUUGGGAGCGGGCGGGCGGUCUGCCACGAGGCGAGCCACCACCCAUCCCCGCCCCUUGCCUCUUGGCGCCCCCCUGAUGCUCUUAGCUGAGUGUCCUGCAGCCCGAAGCGUUUACUUUGAAAAAAUUAGAGUGUUCAAAGCAGGUCCGAGCCGCCUGGAUACCUCAGCUAGGAAUAAUGGAAUAGGACCGCGGUUCUAUUCUGUUGGUUUUCGGAACUGAGGCCAUGAUUAAGAGGGACGGGCGGGGGCAUUCGUAUUGCGCCGCUAGAGGUGAAAUUCUUGGGCCGGCGCAGUUCGGACCAGAGUGAAAGCAUUUGCCAAGAAUGUUUUCAUUAAUCAAGAACGAAAGUCGGAGGUUCGAAGAUGAUCAGAUACAGUCGUAGUUCCGACCAUAAACGAUGGCAACUGGCGAUGUGGCGGCGUUAUUCCCAUGACCCGCUGGGCAGCUUCCAAGAAACCAAAGUCUUUGGGUUUUUAGGUUCCGGGGGGAGUAUGGUUGCAAAGCUGAAACUUAAAGGAAUUGGUGGAAGGGACCAGCAGGAGUGGCGCCUAUGGCUUAAUUUGACUCAACAUGGGAAAAAUCAC